CGUGUAUCAUCAAAUCUAAAAAAUGUGCUGAUAAGUGACGUCUUUAGCCUUUAAACUGUGUCCAUAUAAAAGACCGCAAUAGAUUUUUGUCACAUCAGAUGUAAGGUUUGCAACAUGGUGCAAAGUGGACGAAAUAGACACUGAAAUAGUUUUAAACAUCAAGAGCAGUGAGGGUGGGGAAUUCAAAACGUUUCAUCUUUCUCUUCACCUGGAUUCAAAAGAAAAAGGAUGGCUGUGGCACAGAUAAUAUCAAUCUUCCUGAUUAUAAUGGUGGCUGAUGCACCUACAACUGCAGCAGCUUCAACUGCCACAACAGCGACUGAUGCAACUACUGCUACAGCAGCAACGACUGCUGUUCCGACAACAGUAGCAUCUUCAACUGAGGCAACAGCGACUGCUGCAAGUACAACAGCGGAUCCUGCAACGUCUGCAACAGUGACAGAUGACCUUACAACUGCAUUAGCAACGACUGCUGCAACUACAACUGCAGCAGCUUCAACUGCCACAACAGCGAAUGAUGCAAGUACAACAGCGGAUCUUGCAACUUCCGCAACAG
This is a long non-coding RNA of Gasterosteus aculeatus aculeatus (three-spined stickleback), 556 nucleotides long. Lineage: Eukaryota; Metazoa; Chordata; Actinopteri; Perciformes; Gasterosteidae. The record is from Ensembl.